UCUUCAAUAGUCCACCAGUUAUCAUGAAGCAGGCUUGCGUCGUACCUGGUUGCACAUCGAAUACACGGACCCCAUCGCACCACUUUCCUAAAGAUCCUACUCGACGCUUAUUAGAAGAGGAUUAUAUAUAUUCAAUCCAUCGAAGAAAAUUGAAAGCUAUGAAAAUGAUGCCAUACCUCAUCAUAAUAUACCUC
Molecule: long non-coding RNA, 194 nt
Organism: Harpegnathos saltator (Jerdon's jumping ant)
Lineage: Eukaryota; Metazoa; Arthropoda; Insecta; Hymenoptera; Formicidae
Exons: 3
Source: RefSeq, a predicted model, not a curated record